RNAcentral lists this long non-coding RNA (5096 nucleotides) under Sus scrofa (pig). RNAcentral describes it as "lncRNA (ENSSSCG00060046259.1)". The record is from RNAcentral. Lineage: Eukaryota; Metazoa; Chordata; Mammalia; Artiodactyla; Suidae.
UUUUUUUUUUUUGUCUUUUUGUCAUUUCUUGGGCUGCUCCCGCGGCAUAUGGAGGUUUCCAGGCCAGAGGGGUCGAAUCGGAGCUGUAGCUGCCAGCCUACACCAGAGCCACAGCAAUGCAGGAUCCGAGCCGCAUCUGCAACCUACACCACAGCUCACUGAAACGCCAGAUCUUUAACCCACUGAGUGAGGCCAGGGAUCAAACCCACAACCUCAUGGUUCCUAGUCUGAUUCGUUAACCACUGAGCCAUGAUGGGAACUCCUAAAGUUUUUAUUUCUAUGUUCCUCUCUAUAUUCUUAAUUUUGGAUCACAAUUCCUUCAUGAUAAUAUUUAUCAUUUAUUUUUUCCAGCUUUUUUGAGAUAUGUGACAUAUGACAUUGUGUAAAUUUAAAAUGUAGAGUGUGUUCAUGUGAUACACGUAUAUUGCAAUAUGAUAACCAUCCUACUGUCUCCCACACCUCUUAAACUUACUGUUUCUCCUUUGCAUUGAAAACAUUUACAAUAUACUCUCUUAGCAACUUCCAAGUGUAUAAUACAGUAAUGUUAACUAUAAUCACAAUGCUGGUCAUUAGAGUCUCAGAAAUUCUUCAAUUUCUAAUUAGAAGUUUGCACUCUUUCAUCAACAUCUUUCCAUUUUCCCUACCUCCCUACCUGGUAAUCACCAUUCUACUCUCUGUUUCUGUGAGUUCAUUUUUUUUUUUUAGAUUCCACAUAUAAGUGAUAUCAUACAAUAUUUGUCUUCUCUGACUUAUUUCACUUAGCAUAAGGCCUUCUAAAACCAUCCAUAUUGUUGCAAAUGACAGAGUUUCCUUCUUUCUCAAGGCUGCAUAAUAUUCAUACACUGUGAAUGAUAGAUACUACAAAGAACACAAAGUGCAUAUAUCUUUGAGAUCCUGUUUUAAUUCCUUUUGGUUAUGUACUCCAUAGUGGGAUUGCAGAAUAAUUUGGUAGUUUUAUUUUUAGUUUUGGAGGAAACUCCAAAUUGUUUUCCAUAGUAUGAAUACCAAUUUACAUUUCAAUGAACAGUGUAUAAAAGCUCCCUUUUCUCCACAUCCUCACCAAUGUUUAUUAUCUCCUGUCUUUUUGAUGAUAGUCAGUCUAACAGGUAUGAGGUAAUAACUCGUGGUAUCGAUUUACAUCUCCCUGAUAAUUAGUAGUGUUGAGCACUUUUUCCUGGACCUAUUUACAAUUUGUAUGUCUUCUUUGGAAAAAUGUCUAUUCAUUUAUUCUUCUCAUUUAAAAAUCAGAUUGUAUUUUUCUACUGAAUUUAUGAAUGUUUUAUAUAUUAUGAAUAUUAACCCCUUAUCAGAUAUAUGCUUUGCAAAUCUUUUCUUCCAUUCCUUAGGUUCCCUCUUCAUUUUGUUGAUCAUUUAUUUUGCUGUAUGGAAGCUUUUUAGUUUGAUGUAGCUUACUUGUUUAUUUUUGUUUUCAUUGUUUGUGUCAUUGGUGGUAAGAUAUCCAAAAAAUGUCAUUUUCAAGACCAAUGUCUGGAGUUCCUGUCAUGGCUUAGUGGUUAAUGAACUUUACUAGUAUCCAUGAGGAUGCGAGUUCGGUCCCUGGCCUUGCUCAAUGGAUUAAGGAUCCGGCAUUGCUGGGAGCUGUGCUAUACGUCACAGAUGCAGCUCAGAUCUCGUGUUGCUGUGGCUGUGGUGUAGGCUGGCAGCUACAGCUCCUAUUCGAGCCUUAGCCUGGGAACCUCCAUAUGCCGCAGGUGCAGCCCUAAAAACCAAAAAAAAAAACACAAUGUCAAGGAGUUUUUUCCCCUAUGUUUUCUUCCAGGAGUUUUAUGAUUUCAGGACUUACAAUUAAGUCUUCAACUCAUUUUGAGUUAAUUUUAGUAUGUGGUGUAAGAUAGAGGUCAGAUUUUACUUUAAUGCAUGUGGUUAUCCAGUUUUCCUCUCACUAUUUAUCAAAGAUACUAUCUUUUCCCCAUUGACUAUUACUGGCUAUAUUGUCAUAUAUUAGUAUGAAUUNAUUUUUUUUUUUUUUUUUUUUUUUUUUUUUUUUUUUUUUUUUUUUUUUUGCUUUUAGGGCUGCACUUGUGGCAUAUGGAAGUUCUCAGGUUAGGGCUGCCAGCCUACACCAUAGCCACAGCAAUGCCAGAUCUGAGCUGCAUCUGUGAUGUACACCACAGCUCAUGGAAACACCAGAUUCUUAACACAUUGAGCAAGGCCAGGGAUCAAACCCACAACCUCAAGGUUCCUGGUCGGAUUUGUUUCCACUGUGCCACAACAGGAACUCCUGAAUUUUCAUUUCUUUGUUUCUUUGGGUGUAUCUAUUAGUUUCUAGCAAAUCAUAUCUUACACAUAAUUUUUUGGACAUGUCGCAUUUAACAUCCUCUUUGAGUCAGAGUCGAGAAUUCAUAAUUUGCUUCUUUCUGUGUGUUUUUAAACAAUCUACAGCUAAAGGAUAUUUUAUCAUUUUACUUUUGAAUUGUAUUAUAUAUAUAUAUAUAUAUACACAUAUAGGCUUUCCUAUUAUCAUUCAAUAAUUUAAACUUUAAAAUAUAAACAAAACUUAAUUGGACUUUGUGUAUAUUUAUCUUUUUGUACAGUUUAAAAAUUUAAACUGUGGCUAUAAAUUUACUGUCAAUUUAAAUGCUAUUCUGGUUGAUUUAAAAAUUAUGUGGAUUGCAAUACUAACAUUAGCUUAUUCUGUGGUAUGCUGAUUUUUAGGCAAGAUUAUUAUUUUAUUGACAGAUAAAAGAUAUUGAAAACUAUGGGUAUUUAAUAUUGAUUCCUUAAUAGCAUAUACACAAUUUAUUAUGACAAAUUAUGCACAUUUCCCCCUUGUAUUUGUAUUUUUAGAUUGAAUAUACUGUCAUAGGAAUUUGGAAUCCUUUUUAUUAAAAUUAUAUGCUAAUAUCUAUCUUUUCUCUUUCAUUAAAGAUUUAAUUUUAUUUAUUUUAAAAAAUGUUUUAAGGGUCGCACAUGUGGCAUAUGGAAAUUCCCAGGGGUCAGCUGCCGGCAUACAUCACAACCACAGCAACACCAGAUUUAAGCUGCAUCUGCAACCUACACCACCACUCACAGCAACGCUGGAUCCUUUAACCCACCGAGUGAGGCCAGAGAUCGAACCUGCAUCCUCAUGAAUACUAGGUGGGUUCUUAACCCACUGAACCACAAUGGGAACCCCCUAGAGAUUUAAUUUUAAAAGAUAAUUUAUUCAUAUUAAAACUUGAAACUUAAUUGAAUAGUUUGAAAUCUUGGAUUAUCUUGGGUAAUGAAGGACAAAAUAUGCCUACUUUUAAUAACUGUAGGCAAUUCAUAAAUUCACAUCCUUUUAUAUAAGUGCAUGUAGGCAUAUGUUACAAAUUUCCGGAUUUGUCAUUUCUUAUAUAGAUAUUUUAAUGAUGCAAAAUCAAAAUAUCAUGCAUAGACAUUUAAUCUGUGCAAAAUACAUUAUAGAAUUUAAAAAUAAAAGAUAAAGUAGAUUUGUUACCUCAGUCAAGAUGGUUCUUCGUGAUCCAAUUCCUCUGACAAUUUCUGUAGAUAAAAGGGAGCAUAAAUUGUGUUUUAAAUUGACCUGAACUCUUCGAUUGAGUAAAAGGUCUGAGAGAACCAAAAACUUAGAUAAGAUCAAGAUAGGGCUGCAAAUUCUACUGGGAAAAAUUAAAAAUCAUGGUAGGGAGAUUUCUGGCACAUCUUCUAUUCCUGGACCUCACUUGUACUCUACAAUUGGAAUUAGAGGGGGGAUAAUUUUUCAGACACUGAAUUCUGAUUGAUAAAUGUGAAAGGGCAUACUUUGAUGAAUUCAAAUCUAUUUUGUUAGAUAAAAUGAUAACAGGAAGUUUAAAGAACAGAGAAAAGUGAAAGAAAGGAAAAAGAUAACUUCGAAGCAAUAUGCACUCCAGAGAAUACACACGCUAAUGAAGGUGGAUAAGCAGCACAAUUUUCAUCAGAGAGCAUUAUUUUUUAUUAACUCUAUCAAAUUUUGCCAUUUUAUAUUUAAUCAUGACAUUAUGAUAUGUUGAGUUUGAGAAUACCUGCAUUCCAGCAAAGAGAGGCAAUUCAUGAUUUAUUAUUUCUGUGUGAUAAAAUAAAAUUCAAAUUUUUAAGUUUGCAGAAGAAAACUGAAUCUGAACAUUGGCUAUAGAAAUAUUUGCUACUCCAAGUUUAGUGCUGUCAUUUCUCUUUUAUCUUUGUAGGAGAAUUUAAAGCUCUUCUUGAAUAUCAGAGAAAGACACAUCUGAAUUUGAAUCUUAGUUUUGGAACUUGUGUGGCCAUGGAGAAAAUGAUCUCUCUGAAUCCCAGUUUUUUUCACUAGUAAAAUGUAGAUUAAAAAUAUCAAUCUAGUGGGAUUGAGAGAUUAGAGAUAAUGUUGAUAAAUUUGGGUCAUUUACCUUAUCUCUCCUUUUCUGUACUAAUUUUAAGGCAAAUGAUCAUAUGUGGAAGAUAACCCUCAAAAAAGAAAGCUCAACAUUUGUUCUCACCCUGCCAAUAUUCAUAAAGUGCAUGAUAGCCACUUAUGAGUAGUGUUGUUUCUCUACCAAGGUUUUCAGUAAGAAUUAAAUCUUCAUGCCAAGCAUUACCUAAAUGAACUCAUUUAUUUCCUGUGCAUCUGGAAUGGUAUUGGUUGUACAACAUUCUUAAGAGACUGAAAAAAGUAAUCACAUGAUUUUGAGGAGAAACAACAAUCAGGAAAGGCAGUGGCGUAUGUAUUUUGCUUAACUCAACAGUUUCCUAAAUGCCACAAAAUGUGUUUUGGGGGAGUCAUCAGACUAGAUCUUUGGACUGAUGUUAUUUAAUCUGAUAUAGUCAUCAGACUCUAUCUCUGGACUUUGCCGUAGUUCUGUGAUUUUAACUGCACAAUUCAAGUAAGUGAAAGAGAAUGUGUAACUGUCAACGGGAGAAUUAGAUGAUUUACCUAACAGAGAAGUAGUGUGAAACAUAUAUUUUAUAAAAAGUACCUGAUGAGAUUCUUAAGAAGAUCAUGUAUAUUCCAUGGAAUUUACACUAAAAAUUGUUGAAAUACAAUAUCCUUUUCACAUAAGCUUCAAAAACAUUUUUUUAAGGAAACUAGUUACAUAAAUAAUGGUACAGCUAUAAACGCAGUGUUAUUUAACAUUUGAAAAAUGAGGCAGAUCUGUAGUAUU